RNAcentral lists this ribosomal RNA (253 nucleotides) under uncultured bacterium. RNAcentral describes it as "partial 16S ribosomal RNA". It matches the Rfam family "Bacterial small subunit ribosomal RNA", at positions 524 to 776 of the family's 1533-position model. The record is from RNAcentral.
UACGGAGGGUGCGAGCGUUGUCCGGAAUCACUGGGCGUAAAGGGCGCGUAGGCGGCCUGAUAAGUAGGGGGUGAAAUCUUGCGGCUUAACCGCAAGGCUGCCUUCUAAACUGUCAGGCUCGAGCACAGUAGAGGCAGGUGGAAUUCCCGGUGUAGCGGUGGAAUGCGUAGAGAUCGGGAAGAACAUCAGUGGCGAAGGCGGCCUGCUGGGCUGUUGCUGACGCUGAGGCGCGGCAGCGUGGGGAGCAAACAGG